ACGAGUCACGACCGUAUCGGCCGCCGCCGCCCUCGCUACAGCCCGCCGUCGCCUUAUCCCCACUCGCUGGUGCGGAUCCGCCGCCGUCGCGCCCCUCACUCCGCUCGCCGCUGCCUCCGUCUACGCGACGCUCCUGCCUCCCUUCACCUUCCCAACUUCCCUUCCGAGCUCCGCCAGUGUCCAAGGCCUUGCUCUUCACCUUCCCAGCCUCCCUUCCGAGCUCCGCCAGCUUGAUGGCUCAUCAGACCUAUGGACGGUGCUACGUUGAGCGAUCGACUGGCAUCCUGCUCAGCCCUGCCGUCAAGCGCAUCCUAUGGGCUCGCCAUCUGGCGCUCCCCGUCAUCAGACUCGUGAUGGGUGAUGGGGUGGAUCGUCUGACACGCCUGGCGAUCCACCGGAGAAGGAUUUGGAGAGAAGGUUGAGCGGCAUGCAGGUGUCCUCGGUUGCCAAGACUGCAGCCAUGGUUAUGGAUGGAAUUUACCUUUUCUAAUCUAUUACAUGAAUAGUCCAUGAGUCCCCUUACGUGAGGUCAAUUUUGUAGAUUGUUUCAAUAUAGCAGAAAGAGGCCAUGACGUUGAUAUGAAUUAAGUUAGUCCCAGAGUGCCAAGACUAGCGAUGGAAUUUACUUUGCAUGGCUGUCACGAGAUAAAAGGAGGCGGUGGACGGGAGAGAUUCAACCGGAGUUGCCACAUUACCGGUAGAUUGCAGGAAGCACUACAUGUAAGAAAAAAGUUUGAUCCUUUGUCUAAUUGACUUUGCAUUAUCCAAUAUGAUUAGCUGGUGACAUGAGGGAGAGGGGGAUAGACCCCUUUGGCUACUGCACACAAUGUGCUACUCAUAUUCCACUUUUAGGCGAUAAGCAGCUUUAGAAUUCAGAUCCCUUUGAUUUACAUUUCAAAUCAUCUUGCUGCAACUUGGUAGUAAACAACCAUUUUUGGUCAUCUUAUACAGAUUUGUUUGGUUCUUCUGUUCGUAUAUGUCUUUUCAAUUUUACUAUAUGCUAACAGAAGAAAAAUGUAGAUAGUUUGAACACAUGUUUAUUCACCUAGAUGUUCUACAUGAAGAAAGAGCAGGAUAAACACCAUUUGUUGGUAGUCUUUCUAUUUGUCCUUAAUUAUUUGUAUUCUACACUAAUAUAGCAAGGUGAAGCCUAAUCUUUACUCUGGGUCACCGAUAGAAGUACUGGUGUAUACACAUCGAAGGUACACAAUGAACUUUUUGUAGUUCUUUUUCUUAUGGGAACUUUUCGUACGUCUUUGUUGUGAUAUACGCCCAUCUCGAAUUUCAUUUUAGGUCUACUUAUUUUAGCUCAGCUAGGUGUUGACAGUAAGAAACACUUGCAAAUAUAUGUCUCUUGUGUAUAUAAAUAUAUGCUCGCUCUACAAGUAUAAUGGAGACAAUGAUCACAGUAAUUUAAUCUGCUAUUUAGUGUACAAUAUUUUAUUCAUAAGAAGAGGUAGUUAUACACUGAAUUGCGGUUAUAUAUCUGAGUUAAGAAAAAAAUAUUAGUCUUCCUCUAUAGAGGUAUGUUGCCUUGCCGAGGCUGCUCUGCUUUUGCUAAUUUGCUGCUCUUUUGUGCUAUACUGCUAUUCCAUAUACAGAGAGAUCAGAGAAGAGAACAGCAACCCGUUACUACUGAUUUUUCAUGCUGCUACUCGCUUACCGUUACACAUCUACAUACAGAAGGCUGCUGCUUGCUGAUUACAAUCCAUUCAUGAUAGGUAGAUAUGUAUGCUUAUGCUUGGUACAUGUGAACAGGGGGACAAGGAAUGGAAGCUGCAGCGGUAGAUACGUGACUCCAGCCACCCAUUGACUAGCACAGUUUUGAAAUUCAUGCUGGCGGACCUUUUUUACCUAUGCGUGAUCAUUAGGUCAAGUAUGCCAAUUAUAAGGACAACAUCAAGCCAUUUGAGAGUAGGGGUCCAACUUCCCUGGAGGUGUGAUUUUUCUGUUACAGACUGAGGUGAGUUGAGUUGAUUUGUUGCUACUGCUAUUCGUGGUUAUCAGCAUGUUCCUACGCCAACCCUGGCAGGCUGCAACCUAUUUGCGGCUCGGCCAUGCCCACUCCCUGUGCUUCUUGCUCGUACCAGCAGUGAAGACUCUAUAAAUACAUGUCAUUCUAUUAUCCAAAAUCCAAUGGCAGAAGGAAGUGGUGUCAAACAACAUGUUGCUUGAUGAAGGACCAAGAUAGUUGAAGAGGAACAUGAAGCGGUAUAGAAAUUCCUCUGGAGGCCGAGCAUCUUGUCAGUCCGUUUAUAUUGACCAGAUUAGAAAAAUCAUAGCGUAAAAACUUGAAUCUUUUCCACAAGCCUUUGAGCAGCAUGUGCUAUCCAUGGCCUGAUGCCAUAAUAUAUAUGGUUUUGUGCUAAAACCAUUUUUAGAUGUAAAGUUCAAACAAGGUGGAAGUGGUUUUAUGAAGAAUUUUGAGGGCCGUCAAAAUUAAGUGUUAUCAAUAGUGCACCACAACAGUUGCAUU
This is a long non-coding RNA of Triticum dicoccoides, 2476 nucleotides long. RefSeq lists it as uncharacterized. Lineage: Eukaryota; Viridiplantae; Streptophyta; Magnoliopsida; Poales; Poaceae. The record is from RefSeq and is a predicted model, not a curated record. The transcript has 4 exons.